Molecule: ribosomal RNA, 253 nt
Filed under: uncultured bacterium
Lineage: Bacteria
Description: partial 16S ribosomal RNA
Rfam family: Bacterial small subunit ribosomal RNA
Source: RNAcentral
UACGUAGGGUGCGAGCGUUAAUCGGAAUUACUGGGCGUAAAGCGUGCGCAGGCGGUCACGUAAGUUUGCACUGACAGCUCCUGGCUUAACCGGGAGAGGCGUGUGAAAACUGCGUGACUUGAGGGCCUCAGAGGGACAUGGAAUUCCAGGUGGAGCGGUGAAAUGCGUAGAGAUUGGGAAGAACACCAGUGGCGAAGGCGGCUAUCUGGACGGUUUCUGACGCUAAGACGCGAAAGCGUGGGGAGCAAACAGG